GUCAAGAUGGAUUCUGUCAAUGGAAGACACUAGUGAGUUGGUCGCUGGUUUAAACUUUCAGUAGCCCAAAAAGGAUGAGUUAACAUUGAUCCUGAGUACUGAUAAAUGACUGUCACAAGUUCUGCAACUAGAAGAAGUUUGCAGGAAGAGAAGAGAGGAGAGGAAGGUUUGGAACAGAAGAAACCUAGUGACAAAGAGAUCACUGUUUGGACUCUCUCUCUAAGUAGCCAGAAAUGGCAUUCAUAGUAGAUCAAACAAAUGUAAUAGAACCAAUGGAAGAGCUGCACACAAAUAAAGCCCAACAAGCAACCAAUUGCCAAAAGAAGAUAAACUGUGUAGAUAAAAAAAUGAAUAAUUAAAUACUGGGAACAAGAGUUCUGGAGCCCUUGAAAGUGAGUCCAUAGGUUAUGGAAUCACUUCAAUGUUCAGAGAUUCAAAGCAACCCCAGUUAAAUUUUGACUUCUGUUUCGACCAUUUCCUACCGAGCACUCUGCCCUCCCUGAUGAUGCUUGGAC
Hypanus sabinus (Atlantic stingray) is the source of this 515-nucleotide long non-coding RNA. RefSeq lists it as uncharacterized. The record is from RefSeq and is a predicted model, not a curated record. Lineage: Eukaryota; Metazoa; Chordata; Chondrichthyes; Myliobatiformes; Dasyatidae. The transcript has 3 exons.